RNAcentral lists this ribosomal RNA (274 nucleotides) under uncultured bacterium. RNAcentral's name for it is "partial 16S ribosomal RNA". It matches the Rfam family "Bacterial small subunit ribosomal RNA", at positions 523 to 796 of the family's 1533-position model. The record is from RNAcentral.
AUACGGAGGGGGUUAGCGUUGUUCGGAAUUACUGGGCGUAAAGCGCACGUAGGCGGACUGGAAAGUUGGGGGUGAAAUCCCGGGGCUCAACCCCGGAACUGCCUCCAAAACUUCCAAUCUAGAGAUCGAGAGAGGUAAGUGGAAUUCCUAGUGUAGAGGUGAAAUUCGUAGAUAUUAGGAGGAACACCAGUGGCGAAGGCGGCUUACUGGCUCGAUACUGACGCUGAGGUGCGAAAGCGUGGGGAGCAAACAGGAUUAGAUACCCUAGUAGUCC